RNAcentral lists this microRNA precursor (99 nucleotides) under Marmota monax (woodchuck). Lineage: Eukaryota; Metazoa; Chordata; Mammalia; Rodentia; Sciuridae. The record is from RNAcentral.
GACUGAGUAGAACUCUACUGUAUGUGUGUGUGUGUGUGUGUGUGUAUAUAUAUAUAUAUACACACACACACACACACACACAUACCAUACAUAUAUAUA